RNAcentral lists this ribosomal RNA (686 nucleotides) under Arthrobacter globiformis. RNAcentral describes it as "bacterial SSU rRNA". It matches the Rfam family "Bacterial small subunit ribosomal RNA", at positions 17 to 715 of the family's 1533-position model. Lineage: Bacteria; Bacillati; Actinomycetota; Actinomycetes; Micrococcales; Micrococcaceae. The record is from RNAcentral.
UCCUGGCUCAGGAUGAACGCUGGCGGCGUGCUUAACACAUGCAAGUCGAACGAUGACCCGGUGCUUGCACCGGUGAUUAGUGGCGAACGGGUGAGUAACACGUGAGUAACCUGCCCUUGACUCUGGGAUAAGCCUGGGAAACUGGGUCUAAUACCGGAUAUGACUCCUCAUCGCAUGGUGGGGGGUGGAAAGCUUUUUGUGGUUUUGGAUGGACUCGCGGCCUAUCAGCUUGUUGGUGAGGUAAUGGCUUACCAAGGCGACGACGGGUAGCCGGCCUGAGAGGGUGACCGGCCACACUGGGACUGAGACACGGCCCAGACUCCUACGGGAGGCAGCAGUGGGGAAUAUUGCACAAUGGGCGCAAGCCUGAUGCAGCGACGCCGCGUGAGGGAUGACGGCCUUCGGGUUGUAAACCUCUUUCAGUAGGGAAGAAGCGAAAGUGACGGUACCUGCAGAAGAAGCGCCGGCUAACUACGUGCCAGCAGCCGCGGUAAUACGUAGGGCGCAAGCGUUAUCCGGAAUUAUUGGGCGUAAAGAGCUCGUAGGCGGUUUGUCGCGUCUGCCGUGAAAGUCCGGGGCUCAACUCCGGAUCUGCGGUGGGUACGGGCAGACUAGAGUGAUGUAGGGGAGACUGGAAUUCCUGGUGUAGCGGUGAAAUGCGCAGAUAUCAGGAGGAACACCGAGAA